RNAcentral lists this unclassified non-coding RNA (279 nucleotides) under plant metagenome. RNAcentral's name for it is "partial contains small subunit ribosomal RNA, internal transcribed spacer 1, and 5.8S ribosomal RNA". The record is from RNAcentral.
UCUCCGUUGGUGAACCAGCGGAGGGAUCAUUACAGGACUAGCAAGCCCCCUAUACCACCGUGAACUUAACUAUAAGAAAGUUGCUUUGGCGGGUGUCCCGGAGGGGGCUGCCCCUCCCCGAGACGCUAAACCCGCCGGCCACCUACUAUACCCCGUCCCUUAGCGUUGGCAAAGAGAGCACACUCAAACAAGAUCAAACUUUCAACAACGGAUCAAUUAGUUCUGGCAUCGUUGCAGAACGGAGCAGAAAGGAAGAGGACACGACUGACAUCCAGUCAC